This 1101-nucleotide unclassified non-coding RNA is filed under the name Hevea brasiliensis (rubber tree). The record is from RNAcentral. Lineage: Eukaryota; Viridiplantae; Streptophyta; Magnoliopsida; Malpighiales; Euphorbiaceae.
GAGCUGCUACAAUAAGAGAGGAGCACGGUUUUGGAGAUUUUUGUACUGGCAAAGUUUGGUGGAGGCACUGGGCUAUGGGACAAAAUCAUGAGGCUUAUGGCCAAAGCAGACAAUUUCUCUAGUGGUGGGAGCCCGAUCGUUACAUAAAGUGCGACAGAACUGAUUUUGCAACUAGAAUUAAGACUGAUGCACACGUAGAUAUUCCUUCUACUCAUGAUGGUAGUGCAUUUGAUCAUGGUAAUGUUAAGUGUGGAGGCACUGGGCUUGGUGAGUCUACUGCUACUGUAGAGCAUGAAAGUGAACAUGUUACAAAACCUAUAGUUGAACCUGUUGUUGAGCAUGAUAGUGAAGAGGUUGUAGAACUUGUAGUUGAACCUACUGUUGAACUUGAGAGUGAACAAAUUGCAGAAUCUGCAGUUGAGUCUACACAGAAGAAGGAAGAUUAUCUAAAGGAUCAGCAGGAGAGUACUCCAGCUAAACUUUCUAUAGUUGAAGCUUCUCAGGCUAAGAAGAGUAAGAAAAAAGUUAAGUCUACAGUGUCCAAUCCAUAUCAGACUCUGGCUACUGCUCUUCAAAGCCCAUCUGAUGAGGAUGAAUCACAGGAGCGUGAUUCUUAUAACGCUUUUGCUGACCAAGUUUCUUAGCCACCUGCUGCCAAACCCUCCAAGAAGAAGAUAGUGCCUUCCAAAGCUGUUCGAAGGAGCAAAAAGUUUAAUGUUUAUAAAAUGAUCUGUUUUUUUAGUUUACUAAUAUGUUUACUACUGUUGUUGGAUGGUUUUUCAGUUUGCUACUGUUUUUCAGUUUAUGCUUGGUUCUUUUUGGAUUAAUAUCUCCUGUUUCCUUUUUGGAUGAUGACAAAAAGGGGGAGAAUGGUUAUGGAUAUGUGAAUAUGUGUUGAUGAACAUGAAAAUAUGGAAAUAUGUUGAUGUGUUGAUAUAUAUACUUGUGAAGUGUGGUGAUAUAUAUAUGUGAUGAUACUUGUGUUGCUGGAUAUAUGUUUAUAUUUGUGAUUGAUACUUGUGAAGUGUGAAUAUGUUUUAUAGCAUAAUUUCAGGGGGAGCUUAUGUACAGAAAAUGAACUUCUUGGAAAUUAUAUGCAUG